RNAcentral lists this ribosomal RNA (584 nucleotides) under uncultured bacterium. RNAcentral's name for it is "bacterial SSU rRNA". It matches the Rfam family "Bacterial small subunit ribosomal RNA", at positions 338 to 915 of the family's 1533-position model. The record is from RNAcentral.
CCUACGGGAGGCAGCAGUGGGGAAUUUUGGACAAUGGGCGCAAGCCUGAUCCAGCAAUGCCGCGUGCAGGAUGAAGGCCUUCGGGUUGUAAACUGCUUUUGUACGGAACGAAAAAGUCUGCCCUAAUACGGUGGGCCCAUGACGGUACCGUAAGAAUAAGCACCGGCUAACUACGUGCCAGCAGCCGCGGUAAUACGUAGGGUGCGAGCGUUAAUCGGAAUUACUGGGCGUAAAGCGUGCGCAGGCGGUUAUAUAAGACAGAUGUGAAAUCCCCGGGCUCAACCUGGGACCUGCAUUUGUGACUGUAUAGCUAGAGUACGGUAGAGGGGGAUGGAAUUCCGCGUGUAGCAGUGAAAUGCGUAGAUAUGCGGAGGAACACCGAUGGCGAAGGCAAUCCCCUGGACCUGUACUGACGCUCAUGCACGAAAGCGUGGGGAGCAAACAGGAUUAGAUACCCUGGUAGUCCACGCCCUAAACGAUGUCAACUGGUUGUUGGGUCUUCACUGACUCAGUAACGAAGCUAACGCGUGAAGUUGACCGCCUGGGGAGUACGGCCGCAAGGUUGAAACUCAAAUGAAUUGAGG